CCUACGGGGGGCAGCAGUGGGGAAUAUUGCACAAUGGGCGCAAGCCUGAUGCAGCAACGCCGCGUGAGGGAUGAAGGCCUUCGGGUUGUAAACCUCUUUUAGCAGGGAAGAAGCGAAAGUGACGGUACCUGCAGAAAAAGCGCCGGCUAACUACGUGCCAGCAGCCGCGGUAAUACGUAGGGCGCAAGCGUUGUCCGGAAUUAUUGGGCGUAAAGAGCUCGUAGGCGGUUUGUCGCGUCUGCUGUGAAAAUCCGAGGCUCAACCUCGGACCUGCAGUGGGUACGGGCAAACUAGAGUGCGGUAGGGGAGAUUGGAAUUCCUGGUGUAGCGGUGGAAUGCGCAGAUAUCAGGAGGAACACCAAUGGCGAAGGCAGAUCUCUGGGCCGUAACUGACGCUGAGGAGCGAAAGCGUGGGGAGCGAACAGGAUUAGAUACCCCCGUAGUC
Molecule: ribosomal RNA, 445 nt
Filed under: uncultured bacterium
Lineage: Bacteria
Description: bacterial SSU rRNA
Rfam family: Bacterial small subunit ribosomal RNA
Source: RNAcentral